Harmonia axyridis is the source of this 523-nucleotide long non-coding RNA. RefSeq lists it as uncharacterized. The transcript is spliced from 2 exons. The record is from RefSeq and is a predicted model, not a curated record. NCBI's taxonomy places the organism in Eukaryota, Metazoa, Arthropoda, Insecta, Coleoptera, Coccinellidae.
UUAACUGCAAUGAUGCAUAUUCAUGUAUCUAUUUCGCAUCGAAAUCAUAUAAAUAUGCCCAUUCACACCCCAUAAAAUUCAGUCAUAACCACUCUCCCGAUAUUGAUAUUUCCAAAUAUUUUGAACAGAACCUAACACUAUAUUCGAAAAAAUGAAAACGACUAAAGGGGUGUUUAUCUGUUUUAUGCUUCUCUUCGUUUAUUGCUCAGCUUCACCAAUUAUUUACGAACAAUCUUCAACAGAAACGGGGAACAUUCCUGGUGAAAUGUCUACGAGUUCUCCAAGAUACAAAGACGAAAGUUUCUAUGGAAGUAAAGUAUUGGGUCGUAUAAGUUCAGCAGCACUGGCGUCUCUAGGUGGAUGAAUAGCAGAUUGCUUGAUAGGACUAUGAUUAUUUAUCAGUCAUAAUAUCUGGUCAAAAUAAUCGUGGAAUAACUAUGUUUUCUAUUGAUUCUCAAUGUAUAUGGAACAUAUUGAUAUAACGAAUGGAAUUAUUUGAAUAAAAUAUUCGAAAACAAUGUAA